AUGGACGACGCCGACGACUACCUCGCGGUGCUGCAGGCGAUGACCCGACUGCACCUGGAUUUCCCAGGAGACAGCAGCGAAGGGGUUACAACUCAUCGGGACGACGCCGAUGCCCCGGCGCAGCCCGCUGCCGCGGAGACCGGCCAUGUAAAGCAGCCGGCGGGUGAGUGGGCGGAGGUCCUGGUGAGCGAGAUGGCGAGCGCCACCUCCAUGGACGACGCCCGGUGCCGUGCCGCCAGGAUCCUCGAGGCAUUCGGAGGCGCCGUAUGCGCUCGCGCCGCGCGGGUAGUCCGCGAUAAGGACCGCGAGCUGGAGAACGUCCGGCGGCAGAACACCAUCCUGAAGAAGGCGGUGGUGAUCCAGCACCGGCAGCACAAUGAGAACGAGGAGAAGGGCAGGGAGCUCCAGGUGCAGGUCGCCCAGUACCGGGAGCAGGUCAGGCGGCUCGAGGCGGAUAAUUAUGGGCUGUCCAUGCACCUCAGGAACGCCGGCCGCGGGGCCUCCAUGCCGGGGAACUUCCACCCAGAAGUUUUCUGA
RNAcentral lists this ribosomal RNA (537 nucleotides) under Triticum aestivum (bread wheat). RNAcentral describes it as "partial small subunit ribosomal RNA". Lineage: Eukaryota; Viridiplantae; Streptophyta; Magnoliopsida; Poales; Poaceae. The record is from RNAcentral.